Daldinia sp. EC12 is the source of this 124-nucleotide non-coding RNA. NCBI's taxonomy places the organism in Eukaryota, Fungi, Ascomycota, Sordariomycetes, Xylariales, Hypoxylaceae. The record is from the annotation of a GenBank genome assembly.
GGGCUGGUGGUGUAAUGGUGCACACUCCAUCCUAUUCCUCGCCCCGGGAUGGCCAGUUGCCUGGCCUACCCGGCGGACAGACAAACCUCAUGGGGAGGAAUGGGUUCGAAUCCCAUCCGGUCCA